GCUUGCUUCAUCAGCACAUACUAGAAUUGGAACGAUACAGAGAAGAUUAGUAUGGCCUCUGCGCAAGGAUGACAUGCAAAUUCGUAAAGCGCUCCAUAUUUUG
Molecule: small nuclear RNA, 103 nt
Organism: Octodon degus (degu)
Lineage: Eukaryota; Metazoa; Chordata; Mammalia; Rodentia; Octodontidae
Source: Ensembl